GAGUUUAUGACUCAAAAACUAGAGCGUCCGCCUCGGAUGCGGAAGGUCGUUGGUUCGAUCCCCGGUUGAGUCAUACCA
Molecule: non-coding RNA, 78 nt
Organism: Potamilus streckersoni
Lineage: Eukaryota; Metazoa; Mollusca; Bivalvia; Unionida; Unionidae
Source: the annotation of a GenBank genome assembly